RNAcentral lists this ribosomal RNA (424 nucleotides) under Gymnophora quartomollis. RNAcentral's name for it is "partial 16S ribosomal RNA". The record is from RNAcentral. Lineage: Eukaryota; Metazoa; Arthropoda; Insecta; Diptera; Phoridae.
CUUUAGAAUUAAAUUUAAGGUCUAACCUGCCCACUGAAAUUUUAAAUGGCCGCAGUAUUUUAACUGUGCAAAGGUAGCAUAAUCAUUAGUCUUUUAAUUGAAGGCUGGAAUGAAUGGUUGGAUGAAAUAUUAACUGUUUCAUAAAAAUUUAAAAUAGAAUUUUAUUUUUUAGUUAAAAAGCUAAAAUGUAAUUAAAAGACGAGAAGACCCUAUAAAUCUUUAUAUUUUUAUAUUUUUAAUUAUAAAGAAAAAUUUAAUUAUGAUUAUUUAAAAUAUUUUAUUGGGGUGAUAUUAAAAUUUACAAAACUUUUAAUUAAUAAUUUACAUAAAUUAAUGAAUUAUUGAUCCAUAAAUUAUGAUUAAAAAAUUAAGUUACUUUAGGGAUAACAGCGUAAUUUUUUUAGAGAGUUCAUAUUGAUAAAAA